UUUAUGUGUAAAGUAAAACCCCUGGUUUCAAUUCUAUGGGUAAGUGAAAUAGGCCUUUUCUGGAAACCUAUGGGUUAUCUAGUGUGUAAAUACAGUAUAAAUACUGGAGCUUAAGCUCAGGGUAUUGGGGAUCACUUUUGAGAAUUCUCAUCGGUGUGGAUCUCGUGUGGUGGAAUGGAACAAUAAAGCUGGACCCUUGCUUCUUCUCACUCACGGCUGGUGUGUUUUUUCUAUCUCCAACUGGGCUCAGAGGUAGAUGUGAGUAUUGGCUUCUAAGUUGAGUUUUAAAAGUUUUUGGGUAAUAGGCUAAAUUCGAGCCAACAUUUGGCACCCCAGAUGGGACUGGGCUAAGAUCUAUAUGUCUGGAAUCUCUCCCGUGGGACUUCGCUCUCUAAGCAACAGACAGGCCGUAUAGGAAAAGGCAUUGCAGACGCCUGUUAUUUCAAAGCUCUGUUUUAGUGGUCUGUUGUUACGAUGGAGAAGCCCCGGGGUGGGAAGAAAGACUAAGUGGGUCUCCAAAAGAACCUGGAGUGAGUGAGAAGAGGUAAGAGAAGUAUAGAUUGUAGAAUGUACUUUUUAUAAUUAUAAUAAAGAAAUGGUAUAUGUGUUGUGUGAGUGAAAGUCCUGCAAUACCGCUGGAGGAAGGGAAAAAAGGUAGAAAAAAGAGAAAUAGAGAAAUACUCCAGGGCUGGGAUAGAAAGCAGGUGGAAAAUGAGGCCUCAGACCCCAGAUACCGGCUACUAGACUAGACUAGCAGUCUAGUGGCGGCUGCAUUGGUGGGGACCCCUAAUACCGCUGGAAAAGGAUUAGAUAAAAGAUAGAUAGAUUAGAUUCCAGGGCUGGAUAGAGAGGGGAAUAAAUCCUGGGCCUAGGUCCGGGUCGUGCAAUACAGCAUGCCCGGUGUAUGAAUGGAAUAUGUACUAACAAAUGUGUGUGCUUAAAAUAUAUGUGCUUAUAAUAUGUAUAAUAUGAGUGUGGUGUGAGAGCGUGUAAGUUUUGGAGACAGGGAAAAUGUAUUUAUUAGUGCUCUGAACAUGAGCUCCAUACCUAAAGUAUUGGAUAAGUGGGAUAAGAUUCAGAGAAAAUAAUUUUUUUUGGAGAAAGUUGGAUUUAAUUUGUAUGACUGUAAGCUUCAUGCAUACGGAGCUGGUUUGGAGGUGCUUUAUACUUUGAAAACUUCAUGUAGUAAAAUAAGUGUAAUAAUGUGGAAUACAAUGUGUGUAUGUGAGCUUGCCUGCGUUGUUGAUAGAAAGGGGGGGUGUAUGUGUGUGUGUUCCUGUCCGUUCUUAUCUGUGCGUCUGUGUGGAAGGACAAGGGGGAAAAAAAAAAAAAAAAAAGGGGAAAAAGGGAUAGGUCUGGCAUACCCUGAUUUGUGUUGGAUACAAUUUGUGCUGAUACUAAACGUAUUUCGGUAGAUGCUCUACCUCUUGCACUAAUGACCUAUCACAUGCAGACUAACAGCAAUAUGUAUCUAACACCGCAUGAAAUGCUUAUGGGUCGACCCAUGUCUGUGUCUGUUCCUUAUGAUGGACGGCCGCUGGAGUAAUUGCAGAUGAAUCGGAAAACAUAUAUAAGACCACUAACUAUUAUGUAUGGAGCUAUAUAUUCACAGGAACACAGCUAAGUGCAGUGUUAUCAGUGUUAUGUGUGAGGCGACACCGCCUCAACGGGGGGAGGUGUUCGGAGGUGUUCGGAGGUGUUCGGAGGUGUUCAGAGGUGUUCACCCGGAGGUGGGAGUCCCGGAGCCGCGAGAGAAGACUGACUACAGGGCAGCAGCGGACUAGAAGCAGCGGACUAGAACAUGCAACCCCUGGAGGAUGCUCAAUCUGUUUUCAAACAUUGGAACGCAUAUGAAAUAGUGACUGAACCGUGGCCCAUUAAGACUAAAGGUUAACCAGCAGUCACUUCCAAGGUUUGUCCAAAAAGUCACUAUAUAGGUUGCUAGUUGCUUUUUUUGAAAGAAAAAAAGGUUGCUAAAGGUGUCUGAAAAGUGGACCGGAGCUGUUUUUGUGAAUAUGAGUGAGUGAAUAGCGGGACAAAGGGGAGGGGCUGCAGCAGGGAGUUAUAUUUUGAGUGAAAAGAUUGUUUUCGUGUUCUAUCGGAAAUAAA
Molecule: long non-coding RNA, 2109 nt
Organism: Ictalurus punctatus (channel catfish)
Lineage: Eukaryota; Metazoa; Chordata; Actinopteri; Siluriformes; Ictaluridae
Source: Ensembl